Molecule: ribosomal RNA, 495 nt
Filed under: uncultured bacterium
Lineage: Bacteria
Description: bacterial SSU rRNA
Rfam family: Bacterial small subunit ribosomal RNA
Source: RNAcentral
AAAGGAAUUGACGGGGGCCCGCACAAGCGGUGGAGCAUGUGGCUCAAUUCGAGGCAACGCGAAGAACCUUACCUGGGCUUGACAUAUACCGGACCGUCCUGGAAACAGGGCUUUUCUUCGGAACCGGUAUACAGGUGCUGCAUGGCUGUCGUCAGCUCGUGUCGUGAGAUGUUCGGUUAAGUCCGGCAACGAGCGCAACCCGUGUCGUCAGUUGCCAUCAGGUGAUGCUGGGCACUCUGGCGAGACUGCCCGUGUCAAGCGGGAGGAAGGCGCGGAUGACGUCAAGUCCGUAUGGCCCUUACGUCCAGGGCUGCACACGUGCUACAAUGGGCGGCACAAUGAGAUGCGAUACCGCGAGGUGGAGCAAAUCUUCAAAAACCGUCCCCAGUUCGGAUUGGAGUCUGCAACUCGACUCCAUGAAGCCGGAAUCGCUAGUAAAGGGGUAUCAGCAACGGCCCCUUGAAUACGUUCCCGGGCCUUGUACACACCGCCCGU